This 253-nucleotide ribosomal RNA is filed under the name uncultured bacterium. RNAcentral describes it as "partial 16S ribosomal RNA". It matches the Rfam family "Bacterial small subunit ribosomal RNA", at positions 524 to 776 of the family's 1533-position model. The record is from RNAcentral.
UACGAGGGGGGCAAGCGUUGUUCGGAAUUAUUGGGCGUAAAGGGCGCGUAGGCGGUGCGGUAAGUCACCUGUGAAAACUCUGGGCUCAACUCAGAGCCUGCAGGCGAAACUGCCGUGCUUGAGUGUGGGAGAGGUGCGUGGAAUUCCCGGUGUAGCGGUGAAAUGCGUAGAUAUCUGGAGGAAUACCGGUGGCGAAGGCGGCAUCCUGGACCGGCAUUGACGCUGAUGAGCGAAAGCUAGGGGAGCAAACGGG